Molecule: transfer RNA, 72 nt
Filed under: Camelus bactrianus (Bactrian camel)
Lineage: Eukaryota; Metazoa; Chordata; Mammalia; Artiodactyla; Camelidae
Also listed under: 2 other names
Rfam family: tRNA
About the family: Transfer RNA (tRNA) molecules are approximately 80 nucleotides in length.
Source: Rfam by way of RNAcentral
GUGGAUAUAGCUCAAUGGUCGAGCACAUAUUUAGAAGGCAUGAGGUCCUGGGUUCAACCCCCAAUACCUCCA